This 705-nucleotide ribosomal RNA is filed under the name Triticum aestivum (bread wheat). Its description in RNAcentral is "partial small subunit ribosomal RNA". Lineage: Eukaryota; Viridiplantae; Streptophyta; Magnoliopsida; Poales; Poaceae. The record is from RNAcentral.
AUGAAAAAGAUCUUGGAGGCAGUUACAAAAGAGAAGCCUAAUGCUGAUACUUUGCAAGCAUUGCAACAAAUUCUCAAAGACAAACUGGACCGUAAGAAAGUUCUGCUUAUUCUGGAUGAUGUUUGGGAAGAUAACAAAAUUAGUGAAUGGGAAAAUUUAAUGGCACCUUUGCGGAGUAUCCAAACAGGAAGCAAGAUCCUGCUGACAACCCGAAUGAGAUCUGUGGCAGAUAUGGUUACAGGUGUGAUGAGAAGUAGAAAGGACUAUUUGCACUUAAAUGGAUUAAAUGAAGAUGAAAAUUGUAUGCUCUUCAAGAAGUGUGCAUUUGGUGGUUUGAAUCCGGAAGAUUAUGCACAUCUCUUGUCAGUUGCUGAAAAAAUAGCAAAAAAGUUUCGAGGCUGUCCUUUGGUUACAAAGAUUGCAGGUGGCCAUCUACGUAGCAAUGUAACUGAUGAGCACUGGAAGAACUUAGAGAGACAAUUAGAACAUUUAGAAGGAAGCACAGAUGUUAUCGUCACAACUGUUCUUCGAUCGAGCAACCAUCAUCUACCUGAACAGUUGCAGCUUUGUUUUAGAUACUGUAGCAUAUUUCCAAAAGGACAGAAGUUUAAGAAGGAAGACAUAGUGAAAAUGUGGAUGGGUUCAGGACUGAUCCUGCAAACUGAAGGUGGGACCAAAAGGCCAGAAGACAUGGGAGAAAGAUAA